RNAcentral lists this ribosomal RNA (497 nucleotides) under uncultured bacterium. RNAcentral describes it as "partial 16S ribosomal RNA". It matches the Rfam family "Bacterial small subunit ribosomal RNA", at positions 28 to 507 of the family's 1533-position model. The record is from RNAcentral.
GAUGAACGCUGGCGGCGUGCCUAAUACAUGCAAGUCGAGCGAACAGACGAGGAGCUUGCUCCUCUGCCGUUAGCGGCGGACGGGUGAGUAACACGUGGAUAACCUACCUAUAAGACUGGGAUAACUUCGGGAAACCGGAGCUAAUAACGGAUAAUAUAUUGAACCGCAUGGUUCAAUAGUGAAAGACGGCUUUGCUGUCUCUUAUAGAUGGAUUCGCGCCGCAUUAGCUAGUUGGUAAGGUAACGGCUUACCAAGGCGACGAUGCGUAGCCGACCUGAGAGGGUGAUCGGCCACACUGGAACUGAGACACGGUCCAGACUCCUACGGGAGGCAGCAGUAGGGAAUCUUCCGCAAUGGGCGAAAGCCUGACGGAGCAACGCCGCGUGAGUGAUGAAGGUCUUCGGAUCGUAAAACUCUGUUAUUAGGGAAGAACAAAUGUGUAAGUAACUAUGCACGUCUUGACGGUACCUAAUCAGAAAGCCACGGCUAACUACGUG